RNAcentral lists this long non-coding RNA (344 nucleotides) under Fukomys damarensis (Damara mole-rat). Its description in RNAcentral is "lncRNA (ENSFDAG00000031465.1)". Lineage: Eukaryota; Metazoa; Chordata; Mammalia; Rodentia; Bathyergidae. The record is from RNAcentral.
GCCGCCUGUCCAGCACCACGAUAGCCGGGCAGUAUGCUGACUGCCCCCGGUUACGUUCGUUGCAUUGCAGACAGAAGGGAAGCAGUCUGUAGUCACAUUCGGGAUGACCCGCCGCCUUACAGCCAGAAUUUCAUUCAGAUCUGGCACCGGCGGAUUUCUGGCUCCUCCCCAAAGUCAGAAGGACUGAGAAAAGCAAGCACUUUGGAUUGAUUCAGGACAGACAGGUGCAACAGCACAGCUGAAGACUCCCACCAGAGAGAACUUUCGGGACUCCAUUAGAAGGUGGCAAGGGGAAGGGGUGAGCGCGUUCAAAGAGAGGGAGGGUUAUGCGUGGGAUUCACCGC